ACAGCCUGUAGGCGCACUGUGAAGCCGUGUUCGAACCCCGAAACGUGUAAGGACCCCUCACCCUAUUUUCUAUCAUGGUAUUAAAGUUCAAUAAAUGAUAAAACGGUAUUUCAUGAAUCAACGAAUGUGUGAAAUUGCUUAAGGUCGCUAAUGGAGCCCGAGUCUAGUGUGUUUGUCGGUUAACUGUUAUUUGACCUGUUUUACAGUUUUAAAUGCAGCAUGAGGUUCGAUGUUUUCAUUUUAUAGAUUCGUGUGCAUAUUUUACUGUUUUAUUGAUUAUGGAUUGAAUGACUGGGAUAUUGAUGUUGUAUGUUGUCUGUUUGGCAUAAAUUAUCGUUUUGCUUGUUUGUAU
RNAcentral lists this long non-coding RNA (352 nucleotides) under Carica papaya (papaya). Its description in RNAcentral is "long non-coding RNA (CPAP_LNC013118)". Lineage: Eukaryota; Viridiplantae; Streptophyta; Magnoliopsida; Brassicales; Caricaceae. The record is from RNAcentral.